GAAUUGUGGCUUAGUGGUGGAGCACUCGCCUGGCACAUGGGAGGCUCUGGGUUCAAUCCUCAGCACCA
Molecule: transfer RNA, 68 nt
Filed under: Marmota monax (woodchuck)
Lineage: Eukaryota; Metazoa; Chordata; Mammalia; Rodentia; Sciuridae
Description: tRNA.Ala
Rfam family: tRNA (bases 5-65)
About the family: Transfer RNA (tRNA) molecules are approximately 80 nucleotides in length. Their secondary structure includes four short double-helical elements and three loops (D, anti-codon, and T loops).
Source: RNAcentral